UUUAAUGAGAGUUUGAUCCUGGCUCAGGACGAACGCUGGCGGCGUGCCUAAUACAUGCAAGUAGAACGCUGAGGUUUGGUGUUUACACUAGACUGAUGAGUUGCGAACGGGUGAGUAACGCGUAGGUAACCUGCCUCAUAGCGGGGGAUAACUAUUGGAAACGAUAGCUAAUACCGCAUAAGAGUAAUUAACACAUGUUAGUUAUUUAAAAGGAGCAAUUGCUUCACUGUGAGAUGGACCUGCGUUGUAUUA
This 252-nucleotide ribosomal RNA is filed under the name Streptococcus agalactiae. Its description in RNAcentral is "partial 16S ribosomal RNA". It matches the Rfam family "Bacterial small subunit ribosomal RNA", at positions 1 to 243 of the family's 1533-position model. RNAcentral also lists the same sequence under 1 other name. The record is from RNAcentral. Lineage: Bacteria; Bacillati; Bacillota; Bacilli; Lactobacillales; Streptococcaceae.